GCCAGGUGUGGUGGUGCAUGCCUGUAAUCCCAGCUGCUCUGGAGGCUGAGGCAGGAUAAUUAGUUGAAUCCAGGAGGUGGAGGUUGCAGUGAGCUGAGAUCGAGCCACUGCACUCCACCCUGGGUGACAGAGUGAGACCCUGUCUCAA
Molecule: non-coding RNA, 148 nt
Organism: Homo sapiens (human)
Lineage: Eukaryota; Metazoa; Chordata; Mammalia; Primates; Hominidae
Rfam family: Metazoan signal recognition particle RNA
About the family: The signal recognition particle (SRP) is a universally conserved ribonucleoprotein. It is involved in the co-translational targeting of proteins to membranes. The eukaryotic SRP consists of a 300-nucleotide 7S RNA and six proteins: SRPs 72, 68, 54, 19, 14, and 9.
Source: Rfam